This 654-nucleotide ribosomal RNA is filed under the name uncultured Bacilli bacterium. RNAcentral describes it as "bacterial SSU rRNA". It matches the Rfam family "Bacterial small subunit ribosomal RNA", at positions 80 to 720 of the family's 1533-position model. Lineage: Bacteria; Bacillati; Bacillota; Bacilli. The record is from RNAcentral.
UUGCUCUUCUUGGAUGAGUUGCGAACGGGUGAGUAACGCGUAGGUAACCUGCCUUGUAGCGGGGGAUAACUAUUGGAAACGAUAGCUAAUACCGCAUAACAAUGGAUGACCCAUGUCAUUUAUUUGAAAGGGGCAAAUGCUCCACUACAAGAUGGACCUGCGUUGUAUUAGCUAGUAGGUGAGGUAACGGCUCACCUAGGCGACGAUACAUAGCCGACCUGAGAGGGUGAUCGGCCACACUGGGACUGAGACACGGCCCAGACUCCUACGGGAGGCAGCAGUAGGGAAUCUUCGGCAAUGGGGGCAACCCUGACCGAGCAACGCCGCGUGAGUGAAGAAGGUUUUCGGAUCGUAAAGCUCUGUUGUAAGUCAAGAACGAGUGUGAGAGUGGAAAGUUCACACUGUGACGGUAGCUUACCAGAAAGGGACGGCUAACUACGUGCCAGCAGCCGCGGUAAUACGUAGGUCCCGAGCGUUGUCCGGAUUUAUUGGGCGUAAAGCGAGCGCAGGCGGUUUGAUAAGUCUGAAGUUAAAGGCUGUGGCUCAACCAUAGUUCGCUUUGGAAACUGUCAAACUUGAGUGCAGAAGGGGAGAGUGGAACUCCAUGUGUAGCGGUGAAAUGCGUAGAUAUAUGGAGGAACACCGGUGGCGAAA